UCCAGACUCCUACGGGAGGCAGCAGUGAGGAAUAUUGGUCAAUGGCCGGAAGGCUGAACCAGCCAAGCCGCGUGAGGGAGGAAGGCGCAGAGCGUCGCAGACCUCUUUUGCCGGGGGACAAAAGGCCGGACUCGUCCGGUCCUGAGGGUACCCGGAGAAAAAGCAUCGGCUAACUCCGUGCCAGCAGCCGCGGUAAUACGGAGGAUGCGAGCGUUAUCCGGAUUUAUUGGGUUUAAAGGGUGCGUAGGCGGAAGGUUAAGUCAGCGGUCAAAUGUCGGUGCUCAACACCGGCCUGCCGUUGAAACUGGUCUUCUUGAGUGAGCGAGAAGUAUGCGGAAUGCGUGGUGUAGCGGUGAAAUGCAUAGAUGUCACGCAGAACUCCGAUUGCGAAGGCAGCAUACCGGCGCUCAACUGACGCUGAGGCACGAAAGCGUGGGGAUCGAACAGGAUUAGAUACCCCAGUAUC
RNAcentral lists this ribosomal RNA (466 nucleotides) under uncultured bacterium. RNAcentral describes it as "bacterial SSU rRNA". It matches the Rfam family "Bacterial small subunit ribosomal RNA", at positions 330 to 795 of the family's 1533-position model. The record is from RNAcentral.